Molecule: long non-coding RNA, 178 nt
Organism: Papaver somniferum (opium poppy)
Lineage: Eukaryota; Viridiplantae; Streptophyta; Magnoliopsida; Ranunculales; Papaveraceae
Exons: 3
Source: RefSeq, a predicted model, not a curated record
AUAAUGUUGAUAGUGAUGCUGGUGAUCCAAACUUUGGGGAGGUGGAGGUUGAGAAUGACAAGGAAGAGGACCAUUAUGGGGACUUGGUCUCUGACAGAGAAGAAGAAGAAACCAACAAGAAUGAUGGGCUUGAACUUAUAGUAUCAGAAAGCAACAAGACUGAUGGGCCUAAUUGUUC